AAUGAACGCUGGCGGCGUGCCUAACACAUGCAAAGUCGCACGAGAAAGUCUGCUUUCGGGCGGGCGAGUAAAGUGGCGCACGGGUGAGUAACGCGUAGGCAAUCUACCCCCGGGACCGGGAUAACAGUGCGAAAGUGCUGCUAAUACCGGAUACGAUCUUUCAGCGGGAGCUGGAAGGUGAAAGUCGGCCUCUCGAAGAAGCCGGUGUUCGGGGAUGAGCCUGCGUCCUAUCAGCUAGUUGGUAGGGUAACGGCCUACCAAGGCGACGACGGGUAGCUGGUCUGAGAGGAUGAUCAGCCACACUGGCACUGAAACACGGGCCAUACACCUAACGGGUGGCUG
Molecule: ribosomal RNA, 342 nt
Filed under: uncultured Pseudomonadota bacterium
Lineage: Bacteria; Pseudomonadati; Pseudomonadota
Description: bacterial SSU rRNA
Rfam family: Bacterial small subunit ribosomal RNA
Source: RNAcentral